Molecule: ribosomal RNA, 346 nt
Filed under: uncultured bacterium
Lineage: Bacteria
Description: bacterial SSU rRNA
Rfam family: Bacterial small subunit ribosomal RNA
Source: RNAcentral
GGGCCCGCACAAGCGGUGGAGCAUGUGGUUUAAUUCGAUGAUACGCGAGGAACCUUACCAGGGUUUAAAUGCAGAACGACAGGGGUGGAAACACCCCUUCUUCGGACGGACUGCAAGGUGCUGCAUGGUUGUCGUCAGCUCGUGCUGUGAAGUGUCGGGUUAAGUCCCGCAACGAGCGCAACCCCUGUGGUUAGUUACCAGCACGUAAAGGUGGGGACUCUAGCCAGACUGCCUACGCAAGUAGUGAGGAAGGUGGGGACGACGUCAAGUCAUCAUGGCCCUUACGUCCAGGGCUGCACACGUGCUACAAUGGUCGGUACAAUGGGUCGCCACCCAGCGAUGGGCG